This 414-nucleotide unclassified non-coding RNA is filed under the name Hevea brasiliensis (rubber tree). The record is from RNAcentral. Lineage: Eukaryota; Viridiplantae; Streptophyta; Magnoliopsida; Malpighiales; Euphorbiaceae.
AAAAUAAAAUAAUUCUUUGAAAAUUAAAUUAAAAAAGAAAAGGCCGAAAACCCUAGAUCUGCACAAUACCUGCCCCUAUAGCACUAAAUUUUUCCAGUUGAGUUCAACUAGCGCGCUACUCAACAUAAGAGUCCCAGCAAUGAAUGCCUUAUAACUCAAUCAUUGAAUUGUUUUACACUUUCUCAGCAUAACAGUUUACUGAGAUUCAAGUUCUCCACAUAGGAAAAUCACAUCACUGCUGCCAAGAUGUGAAUGUCUAGAUGGAUACACAAGCACAAACUAAGCAUAAAAUCAACAACAAAGUUAAUAUUUGAUUUUUCAUGCUUAAACCUCGUAAUAAGUUCCGAUGCCUCAGCAUCCCACUGAAGGACACAGAACUUAUAUCUUUCUGUAGCAAUAAAUAGAAAAUCCUGU